Molecule: non-coding RNA, 377 nt
Organism: Arachis ipaensis
Lineage: Eukaryota; Viridiplantae; Streptophyta; Magnoliopsida; Fabales; Fabaceae
Source: RefSeq, a predicted model, not a curated record
CAUCUGCAUGUUCUGUUUUAUCACUGCUAUGGUUUUCAUGUUCUGAUUUUAAUUCUAGUCCUUACUUUGUCUUGAAUCCCCAGGGUUGAAAUUGCUAUUAAUUCCUAUCCAAUCUAAAUCUUUUAUUUUGCUGCAACCAUGACCAAUGCGGUGAAGAUUAACAUUACUGCUACCGCUGUUUCGGUUGCUGCCAUUGCCGUUCUAAUUGCGUGAGAGUCGCAUCUGCUGCCAUGAAUUAAAAGGAGAGGGAAUUAUCACGAUAAAUUUGUGUGAACUCAGUUAAUUGAGGAAUCGGAUGAAGAAGCAUUAAGAAGAGUUAUAUUGUGUUUGGUUUAUAUGAUGUUCUGUUAAUUAGAUUAUUUUCUUCCCUCGUCUUU